This 764-nucleotide ribosomal RNA is filed under the name uncultured bacterium. RNAcentral's name for it is "bacterial SSU rRNA". It matches the Rfam family "Bacterial small subunit ribosomal RNA", at positions 28 to 764 of the family's 1533-position model. The record is from RNAcentral.
GAUGAACGCUGGCGGCGUGCCUAACACAUGCAAGUCGAACGGGGUUAUACUUUUGGAAGCACUUGAUUUAUCAAGGGUGGACAUGUGUAUAACCUAGUGGCGAACGGGUGAGUAACGCGUGGAUAACCUGCCUUAUACUGGGGGAUAACACUUAGAAAUAGGUGCUAAUACCGCAUAAAAUCCUACAUUCGCAUGGGCGUAGGAGAAAAGAUUAUAUCGGUAUAAGAUGGAUCCGCGUCUGAUUAGCUAGUUGGUGGGGUAACGGCCCACCAAGGCAUCGAUCAGUAGCCGGCCUGAGAGGGUGUACGGCCACAUUGGGACUGAGACACGGCCCAAACUCCUACGGGAGGCAGCAGUGGGGAAUAUUGCACAAUGGGGGGAACCCUGAUGCAGCGACGCCGCGUGAGUGAAGAAGUAUUUCGGUAUGUAAAGCUCUAUCAGCAGGGAAGAAAACCACCAUUUGGUGGCUGGACGGUACCUGACUAAGAAGCCCCGGCUAACUACGUGCCAGCAGCCGCGGUAAUACGUAGGGGGCAAGCGUUAUCCGGAUUUACUGGGUGUAAAGGGAGCGUAGACGGUUAGAUAAGUCUGGAGUGAAAAUCCUAAGCUUAACUUAGGAACUGCUUUGGAAACUAUGUAACUGGAGUGCAGGAGAGGUAAGCGGAAUUCCUAGUGUAGCGGUGAAAUGCGUAGAUAUUAGGAGGAACACCGGCGGCGAAGGCGGCUUACUGGACUGUAACUGACGUUGAGGCUCGAAAGCGUGG